AACAAGUAAGCCUGCAGUGCGAGAGCGAAGUGCUCUAAUAGGGUGAUAUGGUACUACAAGGUCAUUAAGAUAAGAUGGGGCCUGAUUAUUUAAGACCUUGUAUGUGAGGAGCAAGAUUUUUUACAGAGUCAUUGUUAAUAAAGUUAAACUAAUGACAGGUGUAUUAGUUGUGGUGACACCCCAUUAGAUGCUAAAUGACAGUUCACACCAUGGUGAGAGCUGGGUGAACUCUUUCAGUGACCAGCCUCAGACUCUCAGUUCUCCAAUGGCUUUUUUGUAUUAUUGUGUAACUUGGGUCAUCACGAUGGGGCUUCCCCUGUUUGCACUGGCAGUCAGAAAUCCCCUGCACAGCCUGCAACUCGCUGGAAAGAAAGAAAAGAAAAUCUGGCAAUUAUUUAUUACUGUAGGUACAUGGAGGCUGAUCAAUACUGGAUCUUUGCUUAUUCCAAAGAAUAAAACAGUUCUAAUGUGAAUAUAUGAGACUGUCCUGUCUCAGACAUUAUCCAGUUAACUGGCCUCUACGGUCUGAAGAAGCACAAGGUAAAUGUGCUGGGUUCAUGACGCUCCCAGCAUUUUGGCCAUCAUCAUCAUCAUCUUCUCAUUUUGAAACCAGACAUGGUGAGCGAGGGAGGAGAACGAACCCGAAGCUAAAAUAAAGUAAGACAAGUGAAAGCAGAAGGUGGUGCAGACCACAGCCUGCUGAGGGAAGGCGUGGUGUGUUUAUACCUGAACUCAGGUAAGUGGCAGAAAACUGAGACAAAUGAACCAACUAAGAAAAAGAAUAAAUCACUCAAAGAUCAAACUUGAGGCUCUGAGAGCUGCUGGUUACUGCUGUAUUUGUUAGGUAUGUAUAUUUGAUAGUGUGCACCGAGAGAAGACGCGGUCCCAGCAUGCUUCAUAUCUGCGACUGUGUCGGGUUUGAGCCCCAGCAAACACAAAGAAUCUGUACAACAAAAGAAAUCAUAGCAAGCUUGAAUAUUUCUGUAUGUCAUCCAUAUAAAAACAGGAUUUUACAGCAUGUAGGUCUGUUAGCCUGUGGGGUCCAAGCAGCCUCUCUCACAUGGGUUAAUGUUCAUACUGAACAACACUGGUAUGCAUAUUAUUGCACCUGUGUGUAAGGAGCGCCGGCUCUCUGAAAUGACCACGCUGCCUGUUUGUUUAUUAAAGAUUACCUGGGCCAAUCAGACGGCUGCUUGGACAAUGUUUUUUAACUGAAUCGACCAAAAUAAAGCAUUUUGCUUCGUUUUCUUCCUAAACAAACACACACAAACAUUCCAACACAAGGACCUGAUCCCAUGUGUAAAACACGCUGGUAGUGAUAUAAUGAAGUGUUGGCCACGUCUGAAACAGCCAAAUCAAAGUCUUCACUUUAUUCCAACAGAAAUGUCUGAAGAAAGCAGCGAGGAAAGCCCGUGCUCGACACAGAGGAACUGGAUGAAAGGUUCACACAUUUGCCACUCACAGAUAUAGUGUAUUUAUUUAUUGUUGUAACACUUUUAACAUUUUAGGUCACAUCUACACAGAAACAGGAAACUCUAAAGAGUUCCAGACCUUUGAACCACCAUUAAGUAUGUGGAAAACAGCAUCUUGUAUAACAGUCAGAUAAUAAAUAAGAAAAAGCAUUUACAGUACACAGAAAUGCACACAGAAAACAAGGUGUGCAUGUGAGGAAGUCAGCAUAGUGUAUACUUCUUGUUUAAGUUCCCACUUCCUAAUUUUUGUGGAAAACUGUGAAACACUUGUUGAAAUUUUAGGGUAGUGUCCCCAAAAUGAAACGCAGUGAUGUCGUUCAGGGAUUUAAAAAACAAA
Molecule: long non-coding RNA, 1809 nt
Organism: Oreochromis niloticus (Nile tilapia)
Lineage: Eukaryota; Metazoa; Chordata; Actinopteri; Cichliformes; Cichlidae
Exons: 2
Source: RefSeq, a predicted model, not a curated record